UACGUAGGGUGCGAGCGUUGUCCGGAAUUACUGGGCGUAAAGCGCUCGUAGGCGGUUUGUCGCGUUGUUCGUGAAAACUCACAGCUUAACUGUGGGCGUGCGGGCGAUACGGGCAGACUGGAGUACUGCAGGGGAGACUGGAAUUCCUGGUGUAGCGGUGGAAUGCGCAGAUAUCAGGAGGAACACCGGUGGCGAAGGCGGGUCUCUGGGCAGUAACUGACGCUGAGGAGCGAAAGCGUGGGGAGCGAACAGG
RNAcentral lists this ribosomal RNA (253 nucleotides) under uncultured bacterium. Its description in RNAcentral is "partial 16S ribosomal RNA". It matches the Rfam family "Bacterial small subunit ribosomal RNA", at positions 524 to 776 of the family's 1533-position model. The record is from RNAcentral.